UACGUAGGGGGCAAGCGUUGUCCGGAUUUAUUGGGCGUAAAGAGCGUGUAGGCGGUUUGGUAGGUCCGCUGUGAAAACUCGAGCUCAACCUCGAGACGCCGGUGGAAACCAUCAGACUAGAGUCCGGAAGAGGAGAGUGGAAUUCCUGGUGUAGCGGUGAAAUGACGCAGAUAUCAGGAGGAACACCGGUGGCGAAGGCGGGUCUCUGGGCCGAUACUGACGCUGAGGAGCGAAAGCGUGGGGAGCGAACAGG
Molecule: ribosomal RNA, 253 nt
Filed under: uncultured bacterium
Lineage: Bacteria
Description: partial 16S ribosomal RNA
Rfam family: Bacterial small subunit ribosomal RNA
Source: RNAcentral